GACGAACGCUGGCGGCGUGCCUAAUACAUGCAAGUAGAACGCACAGUUUAUACCGUAGCUUGCUACACCAUAGACUGUGAGUUGCGAACGGGUGAGUAACGCGUAGGUAACCUGCCUGGUAGCGGGGGAUAACUAUUGGAAACGAUAGCUAAUACCGCAUAAUAUUGAUUAUUGCAUGAUAAUUGAUUGAAAGAUGCUAUUGCAUCACUACCAGAUGGACCUGCGUUGUAUUAGCUAGUAGGUGAGGUAACGGCUCACCUAGGCGACGAUACAUAGCCGAACUGAGAGGGGGGUCGGCCACACUGGGACUGAGACACGGCCCAGACUCCUACGGGAGGCAGCAGGAGGGAAUCUUCGGCAAUGGACGAAAGUCUGACCGAGCAACGCCGCGGGAGUGAAGAAGGUUUUCGGAUCGUAAAGCUCUGUUGUAAGGGAAGAACGGGUGUGAGAGUGGAAAGUUCACACUGUGACGGUAGCUGACCAGAAAGGGACGGCUAACUACGUG
Molecule: ribosomal RNA, 505 nt
Filed under: uncultured bacterium
Lineage: Bacteria
Description: partial 16S ribosomal RNA
Rfam family: Bacterial small subunit ribosomal RNA
Source: RNAcentral